AGGGCGCAUGGUGGAUGCCUUGGCUCACGGAGGCGAUGAAGGACGUGAUAAGCUGCGAUAAGCUCCGGUGAGGUGCAAAUAACCUUUGACCCGGAGAUUUCCGAAUGGGACAACCCAGCAGUCUGAAGGACUGUUAUCUCCGCUAAGCGGAGAGGCAAACCCGGGGAACUGAAACAUCUUAGUACCCGGAGGAAGAGAAAACAAUAGUGAUUCCCCCAGUAGUGGCGAGCGACCGGGGAAGAGCCCAAACCGGUGAUGUAGCAAUGCACCGCCGGGGUUGUAGGACCACGCCGUAGUAUCUCAAUCGCGAGUGGAACAUUCUGGAAAGAAUGUCCAUAGAGGGUGACAGACCCGUACACGAAGCGAACGAGAGCUUAGUGGUAUCCUGAGUAACGCGGGACACGAGUAAUCCUGCGCGAAUCCGCCGGGCCCAUCCGGCAAGGCUAAAUACUCCCGUGAGACCGAUAGUGAACCAGUACCGUGAGGGAAAGGUGAAAAGCACCCCGAUGAGGGGAGUGAAACAGAUCCUGAAACCAUGCGCCUACAAGCGGUCGGAGCUGCUUUAUGCAGUGACGGCGUGCCUUUUGCAUAAUGAACCUACGAGUUGCCGUCACUGGCGAGGUUAAUUGCAACGAUGCAAGCAGCCGCAGUGAAAGCGAGCCUGAACAGGGCGCAUAGUCAGUGGAGGCAGACGCGAAACCGAGUGAUCUACACUUGUCCAGGAUGAAGUCCCGGUAACACGGGAUGGAGGUCCGCACCGAUAAGCGUUGAAAAGCUUCCGGAUGAGGCGAGUGUAGGAGUGAAAGGCCAAUCAAACUCGGAGAUAGCUCGUACUCCCCGAAAGGCAUUUAGGUGCCGCGUGGGGCGUUCUGCGUGAGAGGUAGAGCGACCGAUAGGAUGCGAGGGCUUCACCGCCUGUCAAGUCCUGACGAACUCCGAAUGCUCACGCACAGUAGCCCUGCAGUAAGGGGACGGGUGCUAAGGUCCGUUCCCGAGAGGAGAAGAAUCCAGACCGCCGUCUAAGGCCCCUGAGUUCCGUCUGAGUUAGUCUAACGAAGUCCCGUUGCUGUGACAGCCAGGAUGUUGGCUUGGAAGCAGCCAUUCAUUCAAAGAGUGCGUAACAGCUCACUGGUCGAGUGAUGGGGCGUGGAUAAUAAUCGGGUAUAAGACGGACGCCGAAGGCGCGGGAUAGCAAUGAUAAAAGUAUCGGUAGGGGAGCAUUCCACCGGCGUUGAAUGGGAUAGGACGACUAUCCCUGGAGCCUGUGGAAAAGCAAAUGUAGGUAUAAGUAACGAUAAGGAGGGUGAGAUUCCCUCCCGCCGUAAGACCAAGGUUUCCCGGGCAAUGUCAAUCAGCCCGGGGUAAGUCGGGUCCUAAGUCUCAGCCGAAUGGCGAGGGCGAUGGCUGACACGGUUAAGAUUCCGUGACUUCCUUUAGGAGCUACGUGGUGACGGAGGCGUGAAACUGCCGCGGGGCGACGGAAAUCCCCGUUGACAGGUGUAGGCGUUGAUUGCUGCAGGCAAAUCCACAGCAAGAGCCGACCCUUAAAGUAUGCCGGUCUCUUCGGAGACGGGCAAUAGCGCAGGUAAUCAUACUCCCGAGAAAAACCGCUACGCUUAAUCCUAUAGGAACCCGUACCGCAAACGGACACACGUGGUCGUGUAGAAUAUACUGAGGCGUUGAGAGAUUCAUGGUUAAGGAACUAGGCAAAUUGACCCCGUAACUUCGGGAUAAGGGGUCCUCACUGUAUGGUGAGGCGCAGAGAAUAGGUCCAGGCAACUGUUUAACAAAAACACAGGGCUGUGCGAACUCGUAAGAUGAAGUAUACAGCCUGACACCUGCCCGGUGCCGGAAGGUUAAGAGGAGAUGUCACCGCAAGGGAAGCAUUGAAUUGAAGCCCCGGUAAACGGCGGCCGUAACUAUAACGGUCCUAAGGUAGCGAAAUUCCUUGUCGGGUAAGUUCCGACCUGCACGAAAGGCGCAACGACUUGGGCGCUGUCUCGACCAUGGACCCGGUGAAAUUGCACUGGUCGUGAAGAUGCGACUUACCCGCGGAAGGACGGAGAGACCCCGUGAACCUUCACUGCAGCUUGGCAUUGGCCGCUGGUCCCGCGUGUAGAGGAUAGGCAGGAGGCAUCGAUCCGGAGGCGCCAGCCCCCGGGGAGCCGCCCUUGGAAUACUGCCCUCGCGCGACCGGCGUCCUAACCCGAGGCCGUCGACCGGCUCGGGGACCGUGCCAGGCGGGCAGUUUGACUGGGGCGGUCGCCUCCUAAAGGGUAACGGAGGCGCGCGAAGGUCCGCUCGGGACGGUCGGCAACCGUCCUUUUGAAUGCAAGAGUACAAGCGGGCUUGACUGCGAGGCCCACAAGCCGAGCAGGUGCGAAAGCAGGCUCUAGUGAUCCGGCGGCCCCGAGUGGGUGGGCCGUCGCUCAACGGAUAAAAGGUACUCCGGGGAUAACAGGCUGAUCUUGCCCAAGAGUCCACAUCGACGGCAAGGUUUGGCACCUCGAUGUCGGCUCAUCGCAUCCUGGGGCUGGAGCAGGUCCCAAGGGUACGGCUGUUCGCCGUUUAAAGCGGUACGCGAGCUGGGUUCAGAACGUCGUGAGACAGUUCGGUCCCUAUCCUCCGUGGGCGCAGGAGAAUCGAUGGAGGCUGCCCCCAGUACGAGAGGACCGGGGUGGACGCACCUCCGGUGAACCGGUUGUCGACCAACGGCACGGCCGGGUAGCCGCGUGCGGCGCGGAUAACCGCUGAAGGCAUCUAAGCGGGAAGCCGUUCCAGGGAUUAGUUCUCCUUCCGGUAAGGGCCCAGGUAGACUACCUGGUCGAUAGACGGCAGGUGCAAGGCUGGCGACAGCCUCAGCCGAGCCGCACUAAUCGCCCGAGCUCUUCCGGA
Molecule: ribosomal RNA, 2895 nt
Filed under: human gut metagenome
Description: bacterial LSU rRNA
Rfam family: Bacterial large subunit ribosomal RNA
Source: RNAcentral